GAUAGUGAGGUUAAGCGAUAGAAGAGGAUUGUUUAGUUUGAUUGUUAUGAGGUUGAUGGGUUUUAUUGUACUGUGAUUUGAGGAUUUGAGUUGUUUUGUUCAUGUUGAUUGGUUUCCGAGAUUCCGCUCGUUUUCUCUUGCAUUUCUACAAUGGAUUUCGGAAAUGUUUGCAGGGAUGUUUGCUCCUCUAGGAUUUAUAGGAUUGAUUUGGGUUCUUGCGACGAUAGUUAGGUAAUUCUUCUUCGAUUUGGGAUCUUCUCUUUCCGUGUUAUCUUGUUGCUUUAGCCUUACUGUGUUCUGCAGAACUGGAAUCGGUUGUGAAGAUUUGAGUUUUGUUUGUGUUCGUAGACUGUUUUGAUGGGUUGCGUUUUAAGAUUUGGAGAGGUUCUCGAUGUGCUGGCUAAUCUAUGAAGUAUCGUUGGUUUUCCCUCGAGUUACUGCAGCAGAUCUGGGAUUUUAUCGUGGAGUUUUGGUUACUACCAAAUUGGGAAAUUGCUUUUAUGGAUUUGGUGUAUUGUUGGAUGCUAAUUAAGUGUCUUCUGUUAGGGUAUUGGUUUGUGGUUAAUUCUUGGUUUCGAUGCUGAAAUUGUUCAUACUGGAUUCUUAAGGAAUAUGGCAUUGUACACUUGAAUGGUUGUAGAAGGAUGUAAAAGGUGAGGGAGACAUAUCCCAGGAUGGGAUGGAGGGAACGCAGACGGGGGUAGUCGAGGAGACCUGAUGGAUACACGGUACCAUCCAGAAGGCUCAGCAGUGCUUUGUAGUUUUUGGUCUGUUGGAAUAAAGUUGUUACUGGUGUACAUGGUCACGCGGGUGUUUCACUUGUCUUCGUAUUUUCGGACAGUGAUGUUUUCUUUAUGAGGAGUAUGGUAUUUUACUGAGAUGGAUUUGUUCAAUGUCUUUUGUACGCUGGUCAUAAAAAAAAAAAUUGCCUAAGUUUAGGGAUGUUUCAAAUUCAGUCGUAUGGAUUUAUUCAGUGCCCGGAUGGGUCUUGUGUAAAGAAAAAGUAUGAUGGAAACGUGGUCGUAUUUCUUGUACUAUA
Molecule: long non-coding RNA, 1039 nt
Organism: Zingiber officinale
Lineage: Eukaryota; Viridiplantae; Streptophyta; Magnoliopsida; Zingiberales; Zingiberaceae
Exons: 2
Source: RefSeq, a predicted model, not a curated record